AUUGAACGCUGGCGGAAUGCUUUACACAUGCAAGUCGAACGGCAGCACGGACUUCGGUCUGGUGGCGAGUGGCGAACGGGUGAGUAAUGUAUCGGAACGUGCCCAGUCGUGGGGGAUAACGUAGUGAAAAUUACGCUAAUACCGCAUACGAUCUAUGGAUGAAAGCGGGGGAUCGCAAGACCUCGCGCGAUUGGAGCGGCCGAUAUCAGAUUAGGUAGUUGGUGGGGUAAAGGCCCACCAAGCCAACGAUCUGUAGCUGGUCUGAGAGGACGACCAGCCACACUGGGACUGGGACACGGUCCAGACUCCUACGGGAGGCAGCAGUGGGGAAUUUUGGACAAUGGGCGAAAGCCUGAUCCAGCCAUUCCGCGUGCAGGAUGAAGGCCCUCGGGUUGUAAACUGCUUUUGUACAGAACGAAAAGGUUUCUACUAAUACUAGGAGCUCAUGACGGUACUGUAAGAAUAAGCACCGGCUAACUACGUGCCAGCCGCCGCAGUAA
Molecule: ribosomal RNA, 500 nt
Filed under: uncultured bacterium
Lineage: Bacteria
Description: partial 16S ribosomal RNA
Rfam family: Bacterial small subunit ribosomal RNA
Source: RNAcentral